GGUUGAUCCUGCCAGUAGUCAUAUGCUUGUCUCAAAGAUUAAGCCAUGCAUGUCUAAGUAUAAACGGUUAUACAGUGAAACUGCGGAUGGCUCAUUAAAUCAGUUAUAGUUUAUUUGAUAGUACCUUCUACAUGGAUAACUGUAGAAAAGCUAGAGCUAAUACAUGCUAAAAAUCCCGACUAGGGCAACCUGGAAAGGAUGUAUUUAUUAGAUAUAGAAACCAAUACGGGCGUAAAAAACCCGGCCCAUUGGUGAGUCAUAAUAACUUUGCGGAUCGCAUGCUCUCGUAGCGG
This 293-nucleotide ribosomal RNA is filed under the name uncultured eukaryote. RNAcentral describes it as "partial 18S ribosomal RNA". It matches the Rfam family "Eukaryotic small subunit ribosomal RNA", at positions 6 to 287 of the family's 1831-position model. The record is from RNAcentral.